UACUUUUGCACGGUCUUAUAAUAGCUGUAAGACAUACAUAACAAUCAUUUAAAUAAUAUUAGCAUG
RNAcentral lists this non-coding RNA (66 nucleotides) under unclassified sequences. Its description in RNAcentral is "S15-Flavobacteria ribosomal protein leader". It matches the Rfam family "S15-Flavobacteria ribosomal protein leader". The record is from RNAcentral.